RNAcentral lists this ribosomal RNA (504 nucleotides) under uncultured Actinomycetes bacterium. RNAcentral's name for it is "bacterial SSU rRNA". It matches the Rfam family "Bacterial small subunit ribosomal RNA", at positions 382 to 896 of the family's 1533-position model. Lineage: Bacteria; Bacillati; Actinomycetota; Actinomycetes. The record is from RNAcentral.
CCUGAUGCAGCGACGCCGCGUGAGGGAUGACGGCCUUCGGGUUGUAAACCUCUUUCAGCAGGGAAGAAGCGCAAGUGACGGUACCUGCAGAAGAAGCACCGGCUAACUACGUGCCAGCAGCCGCGGUAAUACGUAGGGUGCGAGCGUUGUCCGGAAUUAUUGGGCGUAAAGAGCUUGUAGGCGGUUUGUCGCGUCUGCCGUGAAAAUCCGGGGCUCAACCCCGGACUUGCGGUGGGUACGGGCAGACUAGAGUGUGGUAGGGGAGACUGGAAUUCCUGGUGUAGCGGUGAAAUGCGCAGAUAUCAGGAGGAACACCGAUGGCGAAGGCAGGUCUCUGGGCCACUACUGACGCUGAGAAGCGAAAGCAUGGGGAGCGAACAGGAUUAGAUACCCUGGUAGUCCAUGCCGUAAACGUUGGGAACUAGGUGUGGGUCUCAUUCCACGAGAUCCGUGCCGCAGCUAACGCAUUAAGUUCCCCGCCUGGGGAGUACGGCCGCAAGGCUA